Molecule: non-coding RNA, 129 nt
Organism: Apis mellifera (honey bee)
Lineage: Eukaryota; Metazoa; Arthropoda; Insecta; Hymenoptera; Apidae
Source: RefSeq, marked provisional
ACAUGUGUGGUGUCUUGACACGAUUGCCGGCUUUCAUGGUGAAAAACUCAUUCUUUACGUGCGCGAGCAACGUGGAAUAGGGAAUGAUUAUUACCGAAGCCGGUUAGUGUAAUAGGACUCGUCGAUCGA